This 255-nucleotide ribosomal RNA is filed under the name uncultured bacterium. RNAcentral describes it as "partial 16S ribosomal RNA". It matches the Rfam family "Bacterial small subunit ribosomal RNA", at positions 524 to 776 of the family's 1533-position model. The record is from RNAcentral.
AACGUAGGAGACGAACGUUAUCCGGAGUUACUGGGCGUAAAGGGCGCGUAGGCGGCCACCGCAAGUCGACUGUGAAAUCUCCGGGCUUAACUCGGAAAGGUCAGCCGAUACUGCGGGGCUAGAGUGCAGAAGGGGCAACUGGAAUUCUCGGUGUAGCGGUGAAAUGCGUAGAUAUCGAGAGGAACACCUGCGGCGAAGACGGGUUGCUGGGCUGACACUGACGCUGAUUGUGCGAAAGCUAGGGGAGCGAACGGG